This 634-nucleotide ribosomal RNA is filed under the name Plocamium sp. Its description in RNAcentral is "SSU rRNA". It matches the Rfam family "Eukaryotic small subunit ribosomal RNA", at positions 567 to 1209 of the family's 1831-position model. The record is from RNAcentral. Lineage: Eukaryota; Rhodophyta; Florideophyceae; Plocamiales; Plocamiaceae.
UCAGCAGCCCGCGGUAAUUCCAGCUCUGUAAGCGUAUACCAAAGUUGUUGCAGUUAAAACGCUCGUAGUCGGAAUUUGGCGGGCGAUGUGGGGCGUCUUAACCGACGAUCUCAUGUCGGCUGCCUUUGUGGAGGGGGGCCUAGUGGUGCUUUGCUGCAUUGCUAGGUUUCUGCCACCGUUUACUGUGAAAAAAUUAGAGUGUUCAAAGCGGGCGUUUGCCAUGAAUACAUUAGCAUGGAAUAAUAGAAUAGGACCUGUAUCCUGUUUUGUUGGUUUGUGAGGAUCGGGUAAUGAUUAAGAGGGACGGUUGGGGGCAUUUGUAUUCCGGCGUCAGAGGUGAAAUUCUUGGAUUGGCGGAAGACAAACAGCUGCGAAAGCGUCUGCCAAGGACGUUUUCAUUGAUCAAGAACGAAAGUAAGGGGAUCGAAGACGAUCAGAUACCGUCGUAGUCUUUACUAUAAACGAUGAGGACUGGAGAUCGGGUGAGACUGUUUUUGGCUCACCCGGCAUCCUUCGGGAAACCAAAGUAUUUGCUUUCUGGGGGGAGUAUGGUCGCAAGGCUGAAACUUAAAGGAAUUGACGGAAGGGCAUCACCGGGUGUGGAGCCUGCGGCUUAAUUUGACUCAAACACGGG